GGAGAGGUGGCAGAGUGGUCUAAUGCGGCGGUCUUGAAAACCGCUUCCCGCAUCGCGGGACGGGGGUUCGAAUCCCUCCCUCUCCGCCA
Molecule: transfer RNA, 89 nt
Filed under: Limisphaerales bacterium
Lineage: Bacteria; Pseudomonadati; Verrucomicrobiota; Verrucomicrobiia; Limisphaerales
Description: Verrucomicrobia subdivision 3 bacterium (sediment metagenome) tRNA-Ser
Rfam family: tRNA
About the family: Transfer RNA (tRNA) molecules are approximately 80 nucleotides in length. Their secondary structure includes four short double-helical elements and three loops (D, anti-codon, and T loops).
Source: RNAcentral